GGAGUAGGCGUUGCUGGGGCUGGAGAAGGCAAAGUGCAGAGGAAGGAGGAGCCACUGCUAGUGGGUACGAGGUUUCUUCUUGGUACAAGGACUUCUACGUUCUGUCCUCCUGCAGCCAUCUAAAAUCAGCCAGAAAGGUUUAGGAUCCCAUUUCCUGUUCUUGCAUCGGCUGUCCAAGCUGCUGUUCCUCUCUCCGCAGUAAGAGGGUGUUUCUCUCCCUGUUCAAGAGGAGCACCAACACUUGAGGACAGUAUCAUCCCUAGACCUUGGCAAGAGAGACCACUGAGUGAGGCAUCCAUGGAACCCAAGGAAGAGGCCUACGAAGAACCUGCAGUCACCUUCUAGACCAUUCUCCCUCACCAAACUGUCCCCUCCAGAGAGCUGAGGACUGGAUCUUCCCAUGCUGACACCUCCAGUGGGAAAGAAAAUUCUAGAUUCAGCUCUGGGUGUCCAAGUCAUUAUGAAGGCAUAUUUGUCAAGGUGGAAGAAAAGGACAUAUUCUAUUUAGCAGUUUAAAGAAGUAAUGCAUGACUCUGAUUUGCGGCUGCAGGAUAAAUCCGAACUAUUUCAGGGAGAUGUCAUGGAGAGCUCAUCUCUCAGCAUCAAAGUUGCCUCUCCUGACUUUUGAAUUUUAAGUGUUCUGUGUGGAAGAAAAAUGGAGACAACAAAUUUCUAUGCAUGGAUUCAAAGAAUCCUCGUAAUAUACAGACUACAUUCUCCCCAGCUUUUUAUCUCUAUAUAUUCUUUUUGUUGAGUUUCAACCACAUAGGGUUGAAAUUCACCUUCCCACAUUACAUUUUUCAUCAAUAGUUGAAGACCUAUGUAUGUAAAUAUCAGGAACUAUCAGAACUCCCUGCAACAGGAAACCUGACCCCCAACUCCCCCGAAAUGCAUCAUGAUAAACAGUCACUUGCCAAAAUAACAAAUCAGCUUCCUGGAACAUGCUUGCUCAAAACCAGGAGAGGAGCUUAGAGACGUCAGCUUGACUUCUGCCUCGUACGCAGGAAGGGUGACCUUCAAAGAUCAAACAUCGUCCCAAAUCUCCCUUCAUCUUGUAGUACUCCUGCUUGUCGUAGCUCCUGUUACCAUCAGGUACUGGGCCAACCAUCCGUCAUGUCAGAAGAGAGUUGGGGACAAUCCCUGGAUUAUUUCACCUUUGCCCUGCUGGUAUAGACAAUGUGUGUUAUGGCUGGGUGACUUGCUGACUUUUACUCUGAGCAACAGCUUUGUCAGAGUAAACUAAAACAGAGACUUCAGAGCAUAAUAAAAUAUGACAUUUUUUCUGUAUAGAACUAAAGACACGGGGGAGAGAGAACAACUUAAUUAAAAAGACAGUGCCCUUUCA
Homo sapiens (human) is the source of this 1345-nucleotide long non-coding RNA. NCBI's taxonomy places the organism in Eukaryota, Metazoa, Chordata, Mammalia, Primates, Hominidae. The record is from Ensembl.